GACGAACGCUGGCGGCGUGCCUAAUACAUGCAAGUCGAACGAACUCUGGUAUUGAUUGGUGCUUGCAUCAUGAUUUACAUUUGAGUGAGUGGCGAACUGGUGAGUAACACGUGGGAAACCUGCCCAGAAGCGGGGGAUAACACCUGGAAACAGAUGCUAAUACCGCAUAACAACUUGGACCGCAUGGUCCGAGUUUGAAAGAUGGCUUCGGCAAUCACUUUUGGAUGGUCCCGCGGCGUAUUAGCUAGAUGGUGAGGUAACGGCUCACCAUGGCAAUGAUACGUAGCCGACCUGAGAGGGUAAUCGGCCACAUUGGGACUGAGACACGGCCCAAACUCCUACGGGAGGCAGCAGUAGGGAAUCUUCCACAAUGGACGAAAGUCUGAUGGAGCAACGCCGCGUGAGUGAAGAAGGGUUUCGGCUCGUAAAACUCUGUUGUUAAAGAAGAACAUAUCUGAGAGUAACUGUUCAGGUAUUGACGGUAUUUAACCAGAAAGCCACGGCUAACUACGUGCCAGCAGCCGCGGUAAUACGUAGGUGGCAAGCGUUGUCCGGAUUUAUUGGGCGUAAAGCGAGCGCAGGCGGUUUUUUAAGUCUGAUGUGAAAGCCUUCGGCUCAACCGAAGAAGUGCAUCGGAAACUGGGGAACUUGAGUGCAGAAGAGGACAGUGGAACUCCAUGUGUAGCGGUGAAAUGCGUAGAUAUAUGGAAGAACACCAGUGGCGAAGGCGGCUGUCUGGUCUGUAACUGACGCUGAGGCUCGAAAGUAUGGGUAGCAAACAGGAUUAGAUACCCUGGUAGUCCAUACCGUAAACGAUGAAUGCUAAGUGUUGGAGGGUUUCCGCCCUUCAGUGCUGCAGCUAACGCAUUAAGCAUUCCGCCUGGGGAGUACGGCCGCAAGGCUGAAACUCAAAGGAAUUGACGGGGGCCCGCACAAGCGGUGGAGCAUGUGGUUUAAUUCGAAGCUACGCGAAGAACCUUACCAGGUCUUGACAUACUAUGCAAAUCUAAGAGAUUAGACGUUCCCUUCGGGGACAUGGAUACAGGUGGUGCAUGGUUGUCGUCAGCUCGUGUCGUGAGAUGUUGGGUUAAGUCCCGCAACGAGCGCAACCCUUAUUAUCAGUUGCCAGCAUUAAGUUGGGCACUCUGGUGAGACUGCCGGUGACAAACCGGAGGAAGGUGGGGAUGACGUCAAAUCAUCAUGCCCCUUAUGACCUGGGCUACACACGUGCUACAAUGGAUGGUACAACGAGUUGCGAACUCGCGAGAGUAAGCUAAUCUCUUAAAGCCAUUCUCAGUUCGGAUUGUAGGCUGCAACUCGCCUACAUGAAGUCGGAAUCGCUAGUAAUCGCGGAUCAGCAUGCCGCGGUGAAUACGUUCCCGGGCCUUGUACACACCGCCCGUCACACCAUGAGAGUUUGUAACACCCAAAGUCGGUGGGGUAACCUUUUAGGAACCAGCCGCCUAAGGUGGGACAGAUGAUUAGGGUG
This 1489-nucleotide ribosomal RNA is filed under the name Lactiplantibacillus plantarum. Its description in RNAcentral is "bacterial SSU rRNA". It matches the Rfam family "Bacterial small subunit ribosomal RNA". Lineage: Bacteria; Bacillati; Bacillota; Bacilli; Lactobacillales; Lactobacillaceae. The record is from RNAcentral.